RNAcentral lists this ribosomal RNA (1155 nucleotides) under Vibrio cholerae. RNAcentral describes it as "partial 23S ribosomal RNA". It matches the Rfam family "Bacterial large subunit ribosomal RNA", at positions 1658 to 2797 of the family's 2925-position model. Lineage: Bacteria; Pseudomonadati; Pseudomonadota; Gammaproteobacteria; Vibrionales; Vibrionaceae. The record is from RNAcentral.
CACAGGUGGUCGGGUAGAGAAUACCAAGGCGCUUGAGAGAACUCGGGUGAAGGAACUAGGCAAAAUGGUACCGUAACUUCGGGAGAAGGUACGCUCUUGAUGGUGAAGUCCCUCGCGGAUGGAGCUGACGAGAGUCGCAGAUACCAGGUGGCUGCAACUGUUUAUUAAAAACACAGCACUGUGCAAAAUCGCAAGAUGACGUAUACGGUGUGACGCCUGCCCGGUGCCGGAAGGUUAAUUGAUGGGGUUAGCGCAAGCGAAGCUCUUGAUCGAAGCCCCGGUAAACGGCGGCCGUAACUAUAACGGUCCUAAGGUAGCGAAAUUCCUUGUCGGGUAAGUUCCGACCUGCACGAAUGGCGUAAUGAUGGCCACGCUGUCUCCACCCGAGACUCAGUGAAAUUGAAAUCGCUGUGAAGAUGCAGUGUACCCGCGGCUAGACGGAAAGACCCCGUGAACCUUUACUACAGCUUGGCACUGAACAUUGAACCUACAUGUGUAGGAUAGGUGGGAGGCUAUGAAGACGUGACGCCAGUUGCGUUGGAGCCGUCCUUGAAAUACCACCCUUGUAUGUUUGAUGUUCUAACUUAGACCCGUUAUCCGGGUUGAGGACAGUGCCUGGUGGGUAGUUUGACUGGGGCGGUCUCCUCCCAAAGAGUAACGGAGGAGCACGAAGGUGGGCUAAUCACGGUUGGACAUCGUGAGGUUAGUGCAAUGGCAUAAGCCCGCUUAACUGCGAGAAUGACGGUUCGAGCAGGUGCGAAAGCAGGUCAUAGUGAUCCGGUGGUUCUGUAUGGAAGGGCCAUCGCUCAACGGAUAAAAGGUACUCCGGGGAUAACAGGCUGAUACCGCCCAAGAGUUCAUAUCGACGGCGGUGUUUGGCACCUCGAUGUCGGCUCAUCACAUCCUGGGGCUGAAGUCGGUCCCAAGGGUAUGGCUGUUCGCCAUUUAAAGUGGUACGCGAGCUGGGUUUAGAACGUCGUGAGACAGUUCGGUCCCUAUCUGCCGUGGGCGUUGGAAGAUUGAAGGGGGCUGCUCCUAGUACGAGAGGACCGGAGUGGACGAACCUCUGGUGUUCGGGUUGUGUCGCCAGACGCAUUGCCCGGUAGCUAAGUUCGGAAUUGAUAAGCGCUGAAAGCAUCUAAGCGCGAAGCGAGC